CCAGCCCCAGGGGGGCGGGCUGGAGGGAGGGGGCGGGCGCCGGGUGCGGGCCCGGGGUCCGCCGGGGCCAUGGCGCGCCAGGGAGGGGGCUGCUGCGCCGGUUCACCUGCCGCAGAGGGGGCGGCCAGCGCCGCUUCACCUGCAGGAGCGGGAGGCGACGGAGGCGAGGCAGAGGCGGCGGCGCGCUCGGCGGCGCCUCCGGGUCCUAGAACCGCAUGCUCCCGCUGGCUCGGAGCCGGGGGACUGGCGGGGUCUGGGUGAAGGGGGCCACGGCCUGGGGGCAGGAGGGUCAGACUUAGCAAUCGGGGGUUAUCAACAACUGCUAGCGCGGCUUGAAGACCCCUGACGGUGCAGCGUUGGGGCGCAAGGGCUGCGUCCGCCUCUUGGGUUCCCGACCGAGAAGGUGGGAACCCCCUUCCAGGCCCCCCACCCCUUGUUUCUCUCCUCUGUUUAGCCCAGAGCCGAGCUGAGGACCGGAGGGAACCAUCUGCAAAUGAGAACCCCAAAGCAGUGCGGAGGGCGCAGAUCCAGGCAAGCGGAGACCCCGUCCCACCCUGGACCAACUCUGCACCGGUGCUGGCAUUCCCAGUGGUUUUAGAAUGGGGACGCCCAUGGAAAAAGGCAGGCUGCGAGAAUCUGGGGACCACCAGGGCGGUCUCGAGGGGAAGAAGCAGGGGUUGGGGAACGGAGGAUUAAAGCCAGCAUCCAGGCUGGGAAAGGAGCAGGCACCGCAGAGGGGGAAAAAAUCUCCUUGACGCUGUCACCUCCAGGGACCUAGGGUGGCCUCUCGACUUGGAGAAUAACAAUCGCUGAUGCCUGGCAAUUACAGCAAUACUUCCAGAGGUCUUCCUUCAUUCAUCCUGACAAUGACCAGGAAAGGUAGGUAUUGAUAUCCUCAUUUUAGAGAUGGGGAAACUGAGGCUCAGAGUGGUUAAGUGACUUGGGCAAGGGCACACGGCUAAUAAAGGGCAGAAACAGAUCUCCUCUCUGUCUACCUCCAAAAUCUACACUGCCUUGGAGCUGUUGUCCUGGCCUGCCUCCCCCCCACCCCCAGGUCCCUCUCAUCCAGGGCCGACCAGAAGGAUGACAGAGUAUUGCGGCGUGUAGAACCCCAGGUCUGGGCACAGUCUCUAACCUGAAUUUGAGGCCCUUCUCGUUCAAUUGCUCCUCUCUCCCCCAUUUAAUUUGUGGGGAUCCCCAAUUGCCCUUCCCUGCACUACCAAGGCACCAAGGAGGGAGGGUCUCCUAAAUGAGCCCUGGAUUUUCCGUAGGCCAGGCCAGGGACCAUAAGUGCCCCCUUCCCCCGUAGCUUCCUCUUUCUCCCGCCCUUCUUCUCAAAUUCAGAACCACUAACAGGAGUUUAAGCAGGAGCUGGGAAGUUUAUCCAAUUUUAAGGAAGGCCCUGGGAUGAGCCAGCCCUUCCCCUAGACUGACCUGAUUUAAGCUUUUCUUCUGCCAAGGUCACCAGCACCACUGGUGGGUGAGGGAUGUAGUCAUUUAUUUCAUGUCCCAGCCAGGGGCCCAUAAGGUAAGACAAAGAAGGAUUUUCCUCAGGUGCACUAAGAAGUGGUCCGUUCCCUGCCCGCCAUCCUCCUCUCCAACCUGGGACAGACUAGUCUUGCCCUUGGGUUCUUGUCCUUGAGCUUAGCUAGGACCGCUCUCUCUCUUCUUUCUUUUUAAAGAAUUUAGUCCCCGAUCCCCUCAACGGCUGUCUCUUUCCAUUUAACAACAAACCUUUACUUAGCACCAGCUGUGUGCCCAGCACUGUGCUCAUUCCUGGAGAUUCUGUGGCAGAUGAAAAGGUCCCUGUCCUUGGGCCGCUCCUAGCCUACCACGGGGCAGACUCUGAACACAUGUGGGAGAGUGGCUGCUGCCAGUCAGCCUGUGCAGCCAUGGCUUCCUGCUUCCUCUUGCCCAGAACUACUCCUUUGAACAGGAGCCUCCGGGAUUUCGAGAUCUGGGGUCGAAGGCCAGCAUUCUGAGGGCAGCCCUCACUCAGCUCUCUUGCAUCCCAGGGAUGGAGCUCAUCGUCACUGAACUGCCUACAUACAGACCAGAAAUAAACUGAGUGUUCAGCUAUAAGGGAUUGGCUAAACCAGCAAUCCAACCAAUAGAACUUUCUGCAAUAAUGGAAAUGUUCUCCAUCUGUGCCAUCCAAUAUGGUAGCCCCUAGCCACAUUGUAGCUACUGAACACUUGAAAUGUGGCUAGUACAGCUGGGGAAACGAGUUUCAAAUUUUACUUAAUUGUUAUGAAGUUCAGUGUAAAUAGCCAUAUGUGGCUACUAUAUUGGACAGUGGAGGGUUAAAUGAACUAUGGUAUAUCCCCACAAUGGAAAACUAUGUGGCUGUUAAAAAAAAUGAGGAUGCCAGGUACUGAUGUGGAAAGAUCGCCAGGGUAUAUUUUGAAGCAAAAAUAUGGUGCAGAACAAUAUGUAUAGUACAUAAUUUUGUGUAUGAGAAAGGGAGGUGGAAACAAGAAUAAAUGUCUGUAUUUGCUUGAA
This is a non-coding RNA of Equus caballus (horse), 2502 nucleotides long. The record is from RefSeq and is a predicted model, not a curated record. Lineage: Eukaryota; Metazoa; Chordata; Mammalia; Perissodactyla; Equidae.